AUUGAACGCUGGCGGCAGGCUUAACACAUGCAAGUCGAGCGGAGAGAGGUAGCUUGCUACUGAUCUUAGCGGCGGACGGGUGAGUAAUGCUUAGGAAUCUGCCUAUUAGUGGGGGACAACAUUUCGAAAGGAAUGCUAAUACCGCAUACGUCCUACGGGAGAAAGCAGGGGAUCUUCGGACCUUGCGCUAAUAGAUGAGCCUAAGUCGGAUUAGCUAGCUGGUGGGGUAAAGGCCUACCAAGGCGACGAUCUGUAGCGGGUCUGAGAGGAUGAUCCGCCACACUGGGACUGAGAAACGGCCCAGACUCCUACGGGAGGCAGCAGUGGGGAAUAUUGGACAAUGGGCGCAAGCCUGAUCCAGCCAUGCCGCGUGUGUGAAGAAGGCCUUAUGGUUGUAAAGCACUUUAAGCGAGGAGGAGGCUACUUUAGAUAAUACCUAGAGAUAGUGGACGUUACUCGCAGAAUAAGCACCGGCUAACUCUGUGCCAGCAGCCGCCGUAA
RNAcentral lists this ribosomal RNA (501 nucleotides) under uncultured bacterium. RNAcentral describes it as "partial 16S ribosomal RNA". It matches the Rfam family "Bacterial small subunit ribosomal RNA", at positions 30 to 523 of the family's 1533-position model. The record is from RNAcentral.